This is a long non-coding RNA of Cinclus cinclus, 1251 nucleotides long. RefSeq lists it as uncharacterized. The transcript is spliced from 2 exons. Lineage: Eukaryota; Metazoa; Chordata; Aves; Passeriformes; Cinclidae. The record is from RefSeq and is a predicted model, not a curated record.
GCCGCGCUGGCGCUGCCUGGUGCUUCCGCGCCACGCGGGGGGAGCCUGCCUCCGCUCACCACUGCGCCUGCCGAGGGGCUUCGCUGCGUGCCUGCCUCCGCCAGCCCACCCGCUCACCCGUCCUCCGGGACGCGCCCACUGCGGCCGGCUGGUCUGUCUGUCUGUCUCUCCGUGUAUCUGGGAAGUGCUUCUGCUCGAGGUUGAUUUCCUCACACUCCAUGACCCGUUGCGAGGUGUCUGCCAGAGCCUGCUCCCCAGCAUGGGUCUGCGCAGCUCCUGCACCCAGAACUCCCCAGAGCCGUGGGGGUUUUCUUGACCCUCACAAAGGGCAUGAGGGCCACGGGACCCCUGCAGCACAGGGUGGGCCAUGGGAUGCUGUAGCAGCCUGGCACGUGCUCUUGUUAGAAAUAGGCAGAUUUCAGUAAAACCAGCCUCCUUUUCCUUCUUCACGGUAAUUCCAUCCCCUGGCUCUCCCCUGUGCCAGCGCUAACGCGCUCUCUCUCUGGCAGACAUCUUUUUCCAGUCCCAACAAAGACCUCCCAUUGCCGCUGAGCGAGCUCCUGAGCUGGGUCUCCGACAUCAGAAGGUCGUGGACAGGCUCGAGAGGAGCCCUGGAGGUGGCAGCAGUUCGGCUGUGCUCACCGGCACAGUGUGGCUGGAUGUCCAUACCACUUCCCCUCAUCGCCGCCAUGGAGCCCAUCCCCCUCCCUGAGGCCGGUGGGACCACACCUGAGGACACAGGGACGUUCUCCCUCAUCCUUUGCACUUGCCAGGGUCCCCAGCCAGAGACUGGGGCCACAGUGCCUGAACAGCCAAUGGCCCAAGAAGCACCCACAGGGUCACCUGGCCCCCAGUUGCCCCACACGCUCCCUCCUCCCCGGGGAUGGCCUCUUAGUGUGGUGUCGGGCUCACUGCGGAUCUCCAAAACAUCUCCUCCUUCCCACCUGCUCUCAUCUGCCACCUGUAAAUCCAGUCAUGUUACCCUCCGCCUCUGGUGUCAUUAUUGCUUUCAUUACCCCGUUUGGCUUUGCAUGAGGUGCUACUGCAUGCGGCCCCAGGACAGUCCCCACUCCUGGGGCCCCCUGCACCCCGACCAUCACUCAUCGGGACAGUGGGAGUCCAUCAAUUACCCAAACACAUCUCUUUUUGGGGGCAAAACACUAAACUUGUACAUACCGCGAAGUGUCUGUAAAAGGAGCAGCGCGGACCCAGGGCUCGCCUGCAAGGGCAGUAAAGGAGAAUCCUCUGAAA